AAAACAACCAUCAUUUAAAAUGUCACAUAACAAAACGACUUGAGAUUUUAAAAAAUAAAAUGUUUUCUUUUCCAUCAUAUUGCUAGUGGAGAUAAUACAAUUAGUACACUGACUCCUGAGAGGAACAGGAGACUUGGUUUUCAUAAAGUAUGCCUUGAAAGCUUCCCUCUGGUGCUCUAGCACACUCUCUCAUCUCUAAAGGCAUGUGGUGGAGAGUAAUGCUUCUCGAAUUCAUAGUGGUCUUCUUCUGAAAUAGAUUUUAGGUUUUAUAUGGAGUAUUAACACCUGAGCCAAAACCCUUUGACUCUCCUCACAGAGAAUGGGCAGUAACAAAAGUUUCAAUUUUAACAUUUUUACAGAUGGUCACUGUACUUCUACUAAUUGUUAAAAUAGGCGGAAAGAUUCUAAAACUUCUGUGUCACACAAGGAUAGUACAGAUUGUAGAAUUACAUUGAUGACCUGUGCUUUCAUUUGAUGGAUUGAAUGACAGCUAAGACCCCUUGUAACAGUAUGAUUCGAAAGUGCAUUGGAAUAUGAAAAUGACUUAUGCCCAUCAUGAGGUGAAGGGUGAUCUGAGAAAACCUUACAUUUGCAGGUCUACAGAGUGUAAAAGCUUAUAGUUACUUGUCCAAGACAUUUAGGAAGCCAGUGCUUGAUGAAAUAGUAGAAAUGUUAUUUCUGCUCUUAGACUUGUCAGUAGCAAGUUAAUGUUGGUAAAUUAUAGCUAAAGUCUGGGGCAUAUUCAGAUUUUUCUAAGGUUUUUGGUUGUUUUUAUUAUGAGAUUCAUUAACCAUCUUCUGUCUUAUUCAUUAGUGUAGCCCAUCAAUUUUCAGUCAUUCUAAGGUUAUUUGAAAUUGAUAUAUUUGCCUGUUACAAAGCAAAGAUAUAACAAAUAUUGGGUUGCUGAGUCUUCUCUUAGCCUUGAAGCUGCUGUGAUAUUUCACACUUUUCAUGUUUUCUAGCUUGAGGGCACACUGUUGUCUUUAGGUUUUCCAUCUAACUAAAAAGUCCGAUGGUGGUAUAUGUAUAGAUAAAUUCAGAACAAGGAUGAAGUCAGUCUUGGCACUCUUCAGGACCUUCCAUUUCUCCCUUGAAUUCAAUAAAGACCAUUAAAAGAGGCAGGAAUGAUCGAGGAAUUAGG
RNAcentral lists this long non-coding RNA (1141 nucleotides) under Mus musculus (house mouse). RNAcentral describes it as "long non-coding RNA chr2:78896599-78897740". Lineage: Eukaryota; Metazoa; Chordata; Mammalia; Rodentia; Muridae. The record is from RNAcentral.